RNAcentral lists this ribosomal RNA (462 nucleotides) under uncultured bacterium. Its description in RNAcentral is "partial 16S ribosomal RNA". It matches the Rfam family "Bacterial small subunit ribosomal RNA", at positions 28 to 507 of the family's 1533-position model. The record is from RNAcentral.
GAUGAACGCUGACAGAAUGCUUAACACAUGCAAGUCUUUGGCGAAGCUGUGCUUGCACAGCCUAGCCAAGGCGGACGGGUGAGUAACGCGUAAGGAACUUGCCCUGCAGUCAGGGAUAACAGACGGAAACGACUGAUAAGACCUGGUAAAGUCAGGCGGACUCAUGUCCAGCCUGAUGAAAAGAGAUGCUGCAGGAGAGCCUUGCGUCCUAUUAGCUUGUUGGUGGGGUAACGGCCCACCAAGGCGAUGAUAGGUAGCCGGCCUGAGAGGGUGGACGGCCACAAGGGGACUGAGAUACAGACCUUAAUCCUACGGGAGGCAGCAGUGGUGAAUAUUGGACAAUGGGGGCAAGCCUGAUCCAGCAAUUCAGGGUGCACGAUGAAGGUUUUCGGAUUGUAAAGUGCGUUCAGCAGGGAAGAAAAAAUGACGGUACCUGCAAAAGAAGCGACGGCUAAAUACGUG